AACGAACGCUGGCGGCAUGCCUAACACAUGCAAGUCGAACGAGACCUUCGGGUCUAGUGGCGCACGGGUGCGUAACGCGUGGGAACCUGCCCUUAGGUUCGGAAUAACUCCCCGAAAGGGGUGCUAAUACCGGAUAAUGUCUUCGGACCAAAGAUUUAUCGCCUUUGGAUGGGCCCGCGUUGGAUUAGCUAGUUGGUAGGGUAAAAGCCUACCAAGGCGACGAUCCAUAGCUGGUCUGAGAGGAUGAUCAGCCACACUGGGACUGAGGCACGGCCCAGACUCCUACGGGAGGCAGCAGUGGGGAAUAUUGGACAAUGGGCGAAAGCCUGAUCCAGCAAUGCCGCGUGAGUGAUGAAGGCCUUAGGGUUGUAAAGCUCUUCUACCCGGGAUGAUAAUGACAGUACCGGGAGAAUAAGCUCCGGCUAACUCCGUG
RNAcentral lists this ribosomal RNA (433 nucleotides) under uncultured bacterium. Its description in RNAcentral is "partial 16S ribosomal RNA". It matches the Rfam family "Bacterial small subunit ribosomal RNA", at positions 29 to 507 of the family's 1533-position model. The record is from RNAcentral.